Molecule: transfer RNA, 68 nt
Filed under: Proechimys gardneri
Lineage: Eukaryota; Metazoa; Chordata; Mammalia; Rodentia; Echimyidae
Also listed under: 1 other name
Description: tRNA-Arg
Rfam family: tRNA
About the family: Transfer RNA (tRNA) molecules are approximately 80 nucleotides in length. Their secondary structure includes four short double-helical elements and three loops (D, anti-codon, and T loops). Further hydrogen bonds mediate the characteristic L-shaped molecular structure. tRNAs have two regions of fundamental functional importance: the anti-codon, which is responsible for specific mRNA codon recognition, and the 3' end, to which the tRNAs corresponding amino acid is attached (by aminoacyl-tRNA synthetases). tRNAs cope with the degeneracy of the genetic code in two manners: having more than one tRNA (with a specific anti-codon) for a particular amino acid; and 'wobble' base-pairing, i.e. permitting non-standard base-pairing at the 3rd anti-codon position.
Source: RNAcentral
UAGUAGUUAGUUUAACAAAAACAAAUGAUUUCGACUCAUUAAAUUAUGCUUUAAUACAUAACUACUAA